Molecule: long non-coding RNA, 245 nt
Organism: Motacilla alba alba
Lineage: Eukaryota; Metazoa; Chordata; Aves; Passeriformes; Motacillidae
Exons: 2
Source: RefSeq, a predicted model, not a curated record
AUCAACUCCCCCGCCACUGCCAGCACUCUGGAAUAGAUGGAAAUGCUGCAAAAUAUUAACAUGUCAAAGCACUUCAUGGUAUUCUUUGUUUAAAGAAGAAGAGCUUACUACAAUAUAAGAAACAGAGGGGAAAAAACAGGCAAAUACAGCAUCAACAGAAGAACCGAAAUUUGACAGUCUGAACAGUUUUGAAAUCUGUACUCAAUCACAUUUCACAAAAAAAAAAAAAAAAAAGACAAUUAAAU